RNAcentral lists this long non-coding RNA (788 nucleotides) under Helianthus annuus (common sunflower). The record is from RNAcentral. Lineage: Eukaryota; Viridiplantae; Streptophyta; Magnoliopsida; Asterales; Asteraceae.
UUGUGGGUUUGUGUUUAGGGGAUUUCCAUCAAAGUUUUGGGUUCAAACACCCACUUAUUUUCUGUUUUUACUUGACAAUCGGAUGAUGAAAACAAGCCCAAGUCAUCAUCUUCCGUAUGAUGAACUUGUGCCUUGUGAAGUGUGAACAAAUAGAAAAGCCUUGGCUUUCCAAACUAAGUUCCACUCCUUCAUUUGAACAUUUUUAUAACUUGUUAGACUAGAUUUACUUUCUUGUAAGUUCAUGACCCUCCUUAUUGUUUCUAACAACAAGUGUAGUGGUGAACAAUAGAGGUACCUAAAUGGAAGACUUGAAUUCUUCCUACCUCAUGUAUGAAUUAUAUGACACAAAGAGGUACCUAAAUGGAGACUUUAAUCUCCUACCUCAUGCUUGAUCUAUAGGACUUGUAAUCUGUAUAGAAUAUUCAUAUGUUAUCUAUAUAAUCUAUAUAAAUCUAAAUAGCUAGACUUGAUGAUAACUUAAUAGUUACUUGUCAAGAAUAUGUUACAUCACCUAUGACCAUACACAUGUUACGAUUCUAAUGGACUUUAAUCCAUGAAAACACACAAACUCUUUCGAGUUUCAAUAGUGUCAAGAACAUGAGCUAUGUGUGCAAGAUGAUUACUUUCAUAAGUUAUUUUCAUGACCUUAAGCUCCAAAUCUCUAAACCAUAUGUAAACACCUAUUAAACUCCAAAUCGAACACAUUCAACUUUCUAGUCUCAACAACCUUGUCACAUUGGAUAAAUCGGAAAGCAUAUGCAAUUUUGUGAGUAUACUCGAUCCCUUUU